Molecule: long non-coding RNA, 364 nt
Filed under: Carica papaya (papaya)
Lineage: Eukaryota; Viridiplantae; Streptophyta; Magnoliopsida; Brassicales; Caricaceae
Description: long non-coding RNA (CPAP_LNC004053)
Source: RNAcentral
AGCGCCGCCGCCGGUAAGCUCCGCUUUUCCGUGAUUUUUUGGCCCCCCGAGGGCCCUAGGGUUGUUUUCUGACAAGGACCGAUGCGAGUGUGGCCGAAUUCGGCCGAAAACGGCCGAAAACAGCCAACCCGAGGCGACUCGCCGCCGCCAGCGGCGGCGCCGUCGCCGGAGCACGGCGGAGCCGCCGUGCCGGAGUUGCGAUUUGGGCCGAAAGAGGCCCUGGGCCUAAUUUGGAUUUUUUUUGGAACACGUGCAGGUACUGUUAGCGUGUUUCAGUUCCCCGGGAAAAAUUCAGGGAAAAUUAGGGACAGCCUGCAGGCGCACUGUGAAUCGUAUUCGGAUCCCGAAAACAAGUAAGGACCCC